AUGAACGCUGGCGGCGUGCCUAAUACCUGCAAGUCGAGCGCACGGACGAGAAGCUUGCUUCUCUGAUGUUAGCGGCGGACAGGUGAGUAACACGUGGAUAACCUACCUAUAAGACUGGGAUAACUUCGGGAAACCGGAGCUAAUACCGGAUAAUAUUUUGAACCGCAUGGUUCAAAAGUGAAAGACGGUCUUGCUGUCACUUAUAGAUGGAUCCGCGCUGCAUUAGCUAGUUGGUAAGGUAACGGCUUACCAAGGCAACGAUGCAUAGCCGACCUGAGAGGGUGAUCGGCCACACUGGAACUGAGACACGGUCCAGACUCCUACGGGAGGCAGCAGUAGGGAAUCUUCCGCAAUGGGCGAAAGCCUGACGGAGCAACGCCGCGUGAGUGAUGAAGGUCUUCGGAUCGUAAAACUCUGUUAUUAGGGAAGAACAUAUGUGUAAGUAACUGUGCACAUCUUGACGGUACCUAAUCAGAAAGCCACGGCUAACUACGUG
This 496-nucleotide ribosomal RNA is filed under the name uncultured bacterium. RNAcentral's name for it is "partial 16S ribosomal RNA". It matches the Rfam family "Bacterial small subunit ribosomal RNA", at positions 29 to 507 of the family's 1533-position model. The record is from RNAcentral.